RNAcentral lists this ribosomal RNA (253 nucleotides) under uncultured bacterium. RNAcentral describes it as "partial 16S ribosomal RNA". It matches the Rfam family "Bacterial small subunit ribosomal RNA", at positions 524 to 776 of the family's 1533-position model. The record is from RNAcentral.
UACAGGGGGGGCAAGCGUUGUUCGGAAUUACUGGGCGUAAAGGGUUUGUAGGUGGCCACUUAAGUCAGACGUGAAAUCCCUCAGCUUAACUGGGGAACUGCGUCUGAUACUGCGUGGCUUGAGUGCAGGAGAGGAACGCGGAAUUCCAGGUGUAGCGGUGAAAUGCGUAGAUAUCAGGAGGAACAUCGAUGGCGAAGGCAGCCCCUUGGACCUGUACUGACGCUCAUGCACGAAAGCGUGGGGAGCAAACAGG